Molecule: ribosomal RNA, 497 nt
Filed under: uncultured bacterium
Lineage: Bacteria
Description: partial 16S ribosomal RNA
Rfam family: Bacterial small subunit ribosomal RNA
Source: RNAcentral
GAUGAACGCUGGCGGCGUGCCUAAUAUAUGCAAGUCGAGCGAACAGACGAGGAGCUUGCUCCUCUGACGUUAGCGGCGGACGGGUGAGUAACACGUGGAUAACCUACCUAUAAGACUGGGAUAACUUCGGGAAACCGGAGCUAAUAACGGAUAAUAUAUUGAACCGCAUGGUUCAAUAGUGAAAGACGGUUUUGCUGUCACUUAUAGAUGGAUCCGCGCCGCAUUAGCUAGUUGGUAAGGUAACGGCUUACCAAGGCAACGAUGCGUAGCCGACCUGAGAGGGUGAUCGGCCACACUGGAACUGAGACACGGUCCAGACUCCUACGAGAGGCAGCAGUAGGGAAUCUUCCGCAAUAGGCGAAAGCCUGACGGAGCAACGCCGCGUGAGUGAUGAAGGUCUUCGGAUCGUAAAACUCUGUUAUUAGGGAAGAACAAAUGUGUAAGUAACUAUGCACGUCUUGACGGUACCUAAUCAGAAAGCCACGGCUAACUACGUG